GAUGAACGCUGGCGGCGUGCUUAAUACAUGCAAGUCGAGCGAACAGACGAGGCGUUUGCUCGUUGGACGUUAGCGGCGGACGGGUGAGUAACACGUGGAUCCCCUCCUUAUAUGACUGGGAUAAUCACGGGAAACCGGAUCUAAUCCCGGAUAAGCUACUGCACCGCAGGGUGCAAUAGUGAAAGACGGCUUUGGGGGAACGUAUCGAUGCAUCCCCGCUGCAUUAGCUAGUUGGUACGGUAACGGCUUAUCACGGCAAGGAUGCGUAUCCGACCGGAGAGGGGGAUCGGCCACACUGGAACUGGGACACGCUCCAGACUCCUGCGGGAGGCCGCAGUAGGGAAUCUUCCGCAAUGGGCGAAAACCUGACGCAGCAGCGCCGCGUGAGUGAUGAAGGUCCUCGGAUCGUAAAACUCUGUUAUUAGGGAAGAACAAAUGUGUAAGUAACUGUGCACGUCUUGACGGUACCUAGUCAGAAAGCAACGGCUAACUACGUG
RNAcentral lists this ribosomal RNA (497 nucleotides) under uncultured bacterium. RNAcentral describes it as "partial 16S ribosomal RNA". It matches the Rfam family "Bacterial small subunit ribosomal RNA", at positions 28 to 507 of the family's 1533-position model. The record is from RNAcentral.